This 378-nucleotide ribosomal RNA is filed under the name uncultured eukaryote. RNAcentral describes it as "partial 18S ribosomal RNA". It matches the Rfam family "Eukaryotic small subunit ribosomal RNA", at positions 592 to 976 of the family's 1831-position model. The record is from RNAcentral.
CAAUAGCGUAUAUUUAAGUUGUUGCAGUUAAAAAGCUCGUAGUUGGAUUUCGGGUGGGACGCAGCGGUCUCGCAUUGCGUUUGUACUGCUGCAGCCCUCCUUCUUGCCGGGGGCGGCCUCUCGGACCUCACUGUCUGGGGGUCAGAAUCGGCGAUGUUACUUUGAGUAAAUUAGAGUGUUCAAAGCAAGCUUACGCUCUGAAUAUAAUAGCAUGGGAUAACACGACAGGACUCUGGCCUAUCGUGUUGGUCUAUAGGACCAGAGUAAUGAUUAAGAGGGACAGUCGGGGGCAUUCGUAUUCCGUUGUCAGAGGUGAAAUUCUUGGAUUUACGGAAGACGAACAUCUGCGAAAGCAUUUGCCAAGGAUGUUUUCAUUGA